Oscillatoriales cyanobacterium is the source of this 72-nucleotide transfer RNA. It matches the Rfam family "tRNA". Rfam says of the family: Transfer RNA (tRNA) molecules are approximately 80 nucleotides in length. Their secondary structure includes four short double-helical elements and three loops (D, anti-codon, and T loops). The record is from Rfam. NCBI's taxonomy places the organism in Bacteria, Bacillati, Cyanobacteriota, Cyanophyceae, Oscillatoriales.
GCCCGUAUAGCUCAGGGGUAGAGCACUUCAUUGGUAAUGAAGAGGUCAUGAGUUCAAAUCUCAUUACGGGCU